This is a non-coding RNA of Danio rerio (zebrafish), 290 nucleotides long. The record is from RefSeq and is a predicted model, not a curated record. NCBI's taxonomy places the organism in Eukaryota, Metazoa, Chordata, Actinopteri, Cypriniformes, Danionidae.
GUUUCACGUCAGCCAUCCCUAGUUAAGAGCAGGCCAACGACGUUUCUGCUAAAUCAUAGGACUGAAAUAUUGACAAUGACAUAAUUCAAUGCAAGACUUCCUUGAGGAGGUGAGACUUGUUAUCAUAAGUGAAAUUUGACGGUCAUUCACCAGCAGAUGCAAGAAACCUUUUCUCUUUGCCCAAAAGAAGUUGUUGAGAUUUAGCCAGGAAGAAAUUAGAGAGAGAUAACCUGGACUUUAAGGAAGAGAUCUGCACAGAGUUUUCUCAGAUCUGUAAUGUAGAUCUCCUG